AAUGGUCCAUUUGUGUUUUGGUUUCAUUCCAAUGAGAAUUUCGUGGGGCCCACUGGUGCUCAGGUGAUGAACAGAAAAUGAAGUUCCCAGAUAUGACCAUUGGGAUGUAUUUUCUUUCUGAUUGCUCUGUGCAAGCUGAUUAUCAGUUCAGCUAGGAUUUGCAGCAUCAACCAUUCACAGUAAGGCCCGCCGGAUGAACAGGGUCACUUAAAGCGAUCGCUGCUAUGUCUUCCAUUUCUUGAAAAGGUGAUCUCCGGUAACCAAACACGAGUUCACAUGCAUUCAACACCUGCUGUCUUCCAUCCAUCGUAACAAUCUCAAUGCUGUCAAUACUAUUUGCCGUCUCUUGUCCAUCAGCUCCCGCAUUCAUGUAUACAGCUCCGCCGACAGUUCCUGGAAUGCCACCGGCGAAUUCAAGUCCCGUGAAUCCAUCAUUUGAGCAUUGGAUGCCCAAUCGAUUAAAUGGGUAGCCGCUUCCAGCUCUGUAAACGCCGGGUCCAAUCCUCUCGAGGAAAUCUAUUCGAUUCAGUAUGAUACAACCAUUGAAGCCACGGUCGUCGAAGAGGCAGUUCGAGCCUUUACCGAUAAUCAGAAACUGUAUAGAUCGCAAUCGACAAUAUCUGUAUGUUGAAUGCUGAAUUGGGUAAGGAUGGGUUAA
Molecule: long non-coding RNA, 658 nt
Organism: Magnolia sinica
Lineage: Eukaryota; Viridiplantae; Streptophyta; Magnoliopsida; Magnoliales; Magnoliaceae
Exons: 2
Source: RefSeq, a predicted model, not a curated record